CGAAGGGGGCUAGCGUUGUUCGGAAUUACUGGGCGUAAAGCGAACGUAGGCGGUGUUCCAUGUCAGAGGUGAAAGCCUGGGGCUCAACUCCAGAAUUGCCUUUGAAACGGGGACGCUUGAGUCCGAGAGAGGGUGGCGGAAUUCCUAGUGUAGAGGUGAAAUUCGUAGAUAUUAGGAAGAACACCAGUGGCGAAGGCGGCCACCUGGCUCGGUACUGACGCUCAGGUUCGAAAGCGUGGGGAGCAAACAGGAUUAGAUACCCUGGUAGUCCACGCCGUAAACGAUGAGUGCUAGUUGUUGGGAAGUUUACUUCUCAGUGACGCAGCUAACGCGAUAAGCACUCCGCCUGGGGAGUACGGCCGCAAGGUUA
Molecule: ribosomal RNA, 370 nt
Filed under: uncultured organism
Description: bacterial SSU rRNA
Rfam family: Bacterial small subunit ribosomal RNA
Source: RNAcentral